This 254-nucleotide ribosomal RNA is filed under the name uncultured bacterium. RNAcentral's name for it is "partial 16S ribosomal RNA". It matches the Rfam family "Bacterial small subunit ribosomal RNA", at positions 524 to 776 of the family's 1533-position model. The record is from RNAcentral.
UACGAGAGGCGCAAACGUUAUUCGGAUUUACUGGGCUUAAAGAGUUCGUAGGCGGCGCAGAAAGUAGGGUGUGAAAGCCCUCGGCUCAACCGAGGAAUUGCGCUCUAAACUACUGUGCUUGAGGAAGCUAGAGGUGAGCGGAACUGAUGGUGGAGCGGUGAAAUGCGUUGAUAUCAUCAGGAACACCGGAGGCGAAGGCGGCUCACUGGGGCUUAUCUGACGCUGCUAGGACGAAAGCGUGGGGAGCAAACAGG